GACCCAGGCCUAGCCCCAGCCCCAGGCCCAGACGAAGUCCCAGCCCCAGCCCCAGCCCCAGCCAUCACCCCAGCCCUGCUUCUCCCUAAAGUCACUCCAGUCUGCAUCGAUUUGGUGCUAAAAGUUGUCCAUUGCUCAUCCAUAAGACUGGAAUGCCCACCCUGUGUGCCUCUAGCAUUGCUGACUUUCUGAGUUGACUACCUGAGUCAUCAUUUUCAACUAAAUGUACACAAUCCCAUUUGUCCACUGUCCCAUGUUAGAACAAUCAAUCCAUGCGCCUUUGUGUCAAUGUUAGAAAAUGUUAGUUGAGUUUCAUAUCAGAUAACUAUUGUUCAGAAUUUUAGUUACUCAUCAUCUUCUGUAUCCCCUGCCCUUAAGGAAGAGAAACCAUUCUUCUGUCAUUGCUGCAGUAGUCACAGUCCCAGUUUUCUGGGCAGUGUUCAUAUAUUGUGCUGGUCACCUGAACUCUACCCUGAGUGAAAUUUUAAUUGUCCAUUAUCUUGCCCACUGGGAUUAGAUCCCAGUCCAAAACCCUUUUGCUGAAUUCAGGACUGGGUGCAGAAAACACAAAUAUUUUGUUCAAUAGUUAACAUGCUCAGUCCCAAUUGUAUUAGCCUUGUCCGUUAAACAAAGGCACCCUACCAUUUUUGCCCUGCUUCUGGGAUGGCCUGCUGUUCUUUGACAAUUAAGGUACCAAAUUGUAAUUAUACAUUGUCUUGCCCCAGAAUCGAUGACCCUUCAUCCCCUUUGCUUUGCCACUAGGCAGUGCUGACUACCUGGGACCAUGUUCCUUGAAUGAUUAAUGAGUAUAAUCCCAAUUUUCCACCCCCCUGUUCAUUACACAAGUCCUUGCAACUUCUUUGCACUAUAGCAAAGGGGCUCAUCUUCAAAGUCCUUUACUUUUGGAUAUUAAUUAAAUACAAUCAUUAAUGUUCAAGAUCCUACCUAAAAGGUAAGACCCACCCAUGCUCUUGUCUUUACUUCUAAGUAGUGCAGACUACUUACUACCUUGCAUUAAUAUGUAAAAUCCUCAUUGCGCACUGUCCCAACAGUUAGUCUAGGAUAUAACCUUAUCUUUAUGCCAUUGCUUAUGAGGAGUUCUGAUUACCCAAGGUCACUUAAACAGUUGAUGUGCAUAAUUGCAUAUGUCCAUGGUGCUGUGCAAUAAAAAAUGGAAUCCCACCCUAUCCUACCCUUUUUGGGAUAUUGCUAGGGAGCGCAGAUUAUUCAAGAACUCAUGCACAGUUGAAAUUGUACAGAAUCCUGUCCAUUUGAAAGGGCCACUAUAUCCCACUUGCAUACUAUAAUGUGGGCUGAUCACUCAAGGACACUUCCCCAAUGUCUCCUAUUGUUAACCUAAAAUCCCAUUCCCCCUUAACUCCCUUUGCAUUAUUGCAGAGGGUCCUUCUGGCCCUUUAAGGUGCUUAAGGCAGUUAUGGCCCCUUCUGUUAGUCUGGGAUUCAAUCACCUCCUACUUUUUCUGCAUUACUGCAGAGAAUACUUGGAAAUGUUAAUGUCCUUAACUGUAGCUAUAAUCCCUUUUGUUAGUCUAGGAUCCUAUACCCCCUGUAGUCAUUUUGCAUUAGUACAUAAUGUACAUGGGAUUGUUAAUGUGUUUACAUGCAGCUCUGUCUGUUCUGUUAAUGUAGGAUUCCAUCUUCUUUAACUCCCUAUGCAUUACAGCAGAGGGUGGUUCAGAUCUUUAAGGUCCUCAAAGGCAGCUGUGGUGUCUUCUGUUAGUCUAGUGAUCCCAUUCCUUCCUACUUCCUUUGCAUUUCUGCAGAGGAUACUUGGGACUGCAAUGUGCUUAAUGCUUCCAGAGUCCUCUCAGUUUUUUUAGGAUCCCAAUCCCCUCCCUCUUACUGAGUUUGCAUUUCACAGAAUACAAGGGACUGUUAAUGUGCUUAAAUGGCAGCUAUGGUCUCCAUUAACCUAGGAUCCCAUCCCCAUGUAAAUUCCCUUGCAUUAUUACAGAGGGCAUUUAGGACUGUUAAUGUAUGUAAUUGUAGCUACAGUCCCUUCUGUUAGAUCCUAUCCUCACCUACUCUUUGCAUUAUCAUGAAGGAUACAAUGGGACUAUUAAUGAGCUUAAUUUCAGCUCUAGUUCCUUUUGUUAAUCUAGUUUCCCACAUACUCCUACUUUUGCAUUAUAGCAAAGGGUACUUGAGACCUUUAAGGUGCUUAAAUGCAGCUAUGACCCCUUCUGUUUUUACUUUGCAUUACUGCAGAGGAUACUUGGGACUUUUAAUGUGCCUAAUUACCACUAUAGUCCCUUUCCUUUGUUUGGGAUCCCACCUGCUCCCACAGAGUUUGUAUUAUCAUAGAAGGUACAAGGGACCAUUAAUGUGCUCAGAGGCAGCUAUGGUUUCUUCUGUUAACAUGGGAUCCUAUCACCACUUAACUUCCUUUUGCAUUAUUGCAAAGGGUACUUGGGACUGUUAAUGUGCUCUAAAGGCAGCUGUGUGGUUCCUUAUGUUACUGUAGGAUUCCAUUAUCUCCAACUCCCUAUGCAUUACAGCACAGGGUACUUGGACCCUUUAAGGUGCUUCUGUUAGUUUAUGUUCCCAUCCCGUCCAAUUUCCUUUGCAUUACUGCAGUGGCUACUUGGGACUGUUAAUGUGCUUAAUUGCAGCUACAAUCCCUUCGGUUGGUCUAGGAUCCCAUCCCCUAUCUAGUCGCUUUACAUUAGCACACAAUAAUGUACAUGGGACUGUUACUGUGCUUAAGUGCAGAUCUGUCCCCUGUGUUAAUGUAGCAUUCCAUCUAACUCCCUGUGCAUUAGAACAGAGGGUCCUUGGCACCUUUAAGGUGCUUAGACAUGCUGUGGUGCCUUCUGUUAGUCUAGGAUCCCAUCCCCCUUCUACUCCCUUUACAUUAUAUGGCAGGGUAUUUGGGACUGUGCUUAAUUGCAGUUACAAUCCCUUCUGUUAGUCAGUCUAGUUAUCCUAUGCCUUCUCACUUCCUUUGCAUUAGAGCAAAUGGGCUAUUUGGGACUGUUAAUGAGUUUAAUGCUACUAUGGUCCCUUCUGUUAAUCUAGUUUCCCAUGCACUCCUCCUUCCUUUGCAUUACAGCAGAGGGUACUUCAGACCUUUAAGAUGUUUAAUUGCAGCCAUGGUCCCUUCUGUUAGUCUAGGAUCUCACAUAUUUCAACUCCCUUUGUAUUACCUGGUGUUAUCUUUGGGACUGUUAGAGUGCUUAGUUGCAGCUCUGGUCCCUUUUCUUAGUCUAGCGUCCCAUCCUUCCCUACUCACUGCAUUUCUUGGGAGUGGAUUUGGGAUAGUAAUGUGCUCAUUUGCAACUGUGGUCCCUUUUGUUAAUCUGGGGUCCCAUGUCCUCCCACUAUUCCUUUGCAUACAGCAGAGGCUAUUUGGGACUCUUAAUAUGUUUAAUUUUAGCUGUGGUCCCUACCAAUACUCUAGGAUCCCAUACCCUUCUAUUCACUUUGCAUUAGGACACAGUGUAUAUGGGACUGUUACUGUGCUUAUAGGUAGUUCGGUCCCUUAUGCUAAUGUAAGAUUCCAUUCUCUCCAACUCUAUAUGCAUUAGAACAGAGGCUACUUGGCACCUUAAGGUGCUUAAAUAUAGCUGUGGUCCCUUCAGUUAGUCUAGGAUCCCAUCUUUCUUCUACUCCCUUUACAUGGGAGGGCAUUUGGGACUAUUAUUGUGCAUAAUUGCACUUACAGUCCCUUCUGUUAGUCUAAGAUCGUAUGUCUUUCCAUUUCCUUUGCAUUAGAGCAGAUGGUAUUUGGGACUGUUAAUGAGCUUAACUGCAGUGAUAGUCCCUUCUGUUAAUCUAGUUUCCCAUGCACUCCUCCUUCCUUUAUGUUAUAGUAGAGUGUACUUGAGACCUUUAAGGUGCUUAGGAGCAGGUAUGGCCCCUUCUAUUAGUGUAGGUUCCCAUCUCCUCCUACUUCCUUUGCAUUACUGCAGAGGCUGCCUGGGACUGUUAAUAUGCCUAAUUGUCACUAUUGUCCCUUCUGUUUGUCUAGAUUUUCACACUUUCCUGCAUGGAUUGCAUUAGCACAGAGGAUAUAAGGGACUAUUAAGGUACUUAAAUGCAGCUACUGUCUUUUCUGUUAACUCACGUUCUCAUCCCCACCUAAUUCCCUUUGCAUUAUUGCAGAAGGUACUUGAGACGUUAAUGAACUAUUGUAGCAAUGGUCCCUUGUAGGCUGGGAACCCACCCUCACAAACUCCCUUAACAUUACUACAGAGAGUACACCGGGACUGUUAAUGUGCUUAAAUGCAUCCACAGACCCUUACAUUAAUGUAGGAUUCCAUCCUUGCCAAACCCUCUGUGCACUGCAGAAGAGGGUAGUUUCAACCUUCAAGGUGCUUAAAUGCAGCUAUGGCCCCUUCUGUUAGUUUGUGUUCCUGUGCUCUCCUACUUUGCAUUACUGCAGAGGAUAGUUGGGAUGUUAGUAUGCCUAAUUGCUGCUACAAUCCCUUCUGUUAAUCUAGGAUCCCAUUCCAUUCCACACUGUUUGCGUUACCACUAAGUGUACAAAGGAUUGGUAAUGUGCUCAAAUGCAGCUAAGAUCUCUUCUGUUAAUCUAGGACGCCAUCUCCACUUAACUCUGUUGGCAUUAUUGCAGAGGCUACUUGGGACUGUUCAUGUGCUCUAAUGUAGCUAUGGUCUCUGCUAUACAAGGAUCCCAACCCUACAUGCUCUCUUUGCAUUAUCAUGAAGGGUACAUGGGACUGUUAAUAUAAAUGAAGCCAUGGUCCCUUAAGUUAGUGUAGGAUUCCAUCCUCUCCAACUCCCUGUGCAUUACAGCAAAAGGUAGUUGAGACCUUUAAGGUGCUUAAAUGUAGCUGGGGUACUUUCUGUUAGCCUAGGAUCCCAUCACCACCUAACUCCCUUUCAAGUACUGCAGAAGGUACUCGAAACCUUUAAGAUGCUUAAAUGCAGCUACGACCCCUCUGUGAGUUUGUGUUCCCAGCCCCUCCUACUUACACUUUACUUUAUUGCAGAGGAUACUUGGUACUGUUAAUGUGCCUAAUUGCCACUACAGUCCCAUCUGUUUGUCUAUAAUCCUAUCCCCUCCUAAAUGUUUGCAUUUCUACAGAAGGCACAAGGGACAAUUAAGUGCUUAAAUCCAGCUAAGGUGUCUUCUGUUAAUCUAGGAUCCUAUCCUCUUACUUGGUUUCCAUUACCAUAGAAGGUGCAAGGUACUGUUAAUGUGGGUAAGUGCUGCUAUAGUCCCUUCUGUUUGUCUAGGAUCCUGUUGCCUCCUACAGGGUUUGCAAUACCACAAAAAGUACAAGGGGACUGUUAUAUGCUUAAAGGCAGCUAAGGUCUCUUUAACCUAUGAUUCCAUCCCCACCCAAUGUAUCUGCAUAAUUGCAGAGAGUACUUGGGACUGUUAAUGUGCUUAAAUGCAUCUGGGAUCCCUUAUGUUAAUGUAGGAUUCUAUUCUCUCCAACUCCCUCUGCUUCAUAGCAGAUGGGACCUUCAAGGUGCCAUAGCUAUAGUGCUUUCUAUUAGUCUGGGAUCUCAUCCCCACCUAACUCCCUUUGCAUUACAGCAGAGAGUAAUUGAGAUCUUUAAGAUGCAGCCAUGCCCCCUUCUGUUAGUUUAUGUUCUCAUCCCCUCCUACUUUGUAUUACUGCAGAGUAUACUUGGGACUGUAAAUGUGCCUAAUGACUGCUGUAGUCCCUUCUGUUUGUCUAGGAUCCCCUCCCCUCCUAGAGUUUGCAUUACCACAGAGGGUAUAAAGGGCUGUUAAUAUGCUUAAUUGUAUAGUCCCUUCUGUUAGACUAGGAUUCCAUCUCCACCUACUCUGUUGCAUUAUCAUGGAGGGUACAUGGGACUGUUAGUGUGCUUAAGUGCAGCUACAGCCCAUAUGUUAGCAUAGGGAUUUCAUCCUCUCCAACUUCCUAUGUAUUAUAGUAUAGGGCAUUUGGGAUCUUAAAGGUGAGAAAAUGCAGCUAUGGCCCCUCUAUUAGCUUAUGUUCCCAUUCCCUCCUACUUCCUUUGCAUUACUGCAGAGGAUACUUGGGACUUUUAAUGUAGGUAAUUGGUACUACAGUUGCUUUUGUUAAUCUAAGAUCUCACUCCCUCCUACUUGCUUUGCAUUACCACAGAGGGUAAAAGGGACUGUAAAUGUGCUUCAAUGCAGCUCCUGUCCCUUACCUUAGUGUAGGAUUCCAUCCUCGCCAAUUCCCUAUAGAAGAGGGUAGUUGGGAUCUUUAAGGUCCUUAAAGGCAGCAUAGCUGCCUUCUGUUAGUCUAGGAUCCCAUUCCUUCCUACUGACUUUGCAUUACUGCAGUGGCUACUUGGGACUGUUAAUGUGCUUAAUUGCAGCUACAAUCCCUUCGGUUGGUCUAGGAUCCCAUCCCCUAUCUAGUCGCUUUACAUUAGCACACAAUAAUGUACAUGGGACUGUUACUGUGCUUAAGUGCAGAUCUGUCCCCUGUGUUAAUGUAGCAUUCCAUCUAACUCCCUGUGCAUUAGAACAGAGGGUCCUUGGCACCUUUAAGGUGCUUAGACAUGCUGUGGUGCCUUCUGUUAGUCUAGGAUCCCAUCCCCCUUCUACUCCCUUUACAUUAUAUGGCAGGGUAUUUGGGACUGUGCUUAAUUGCAGUUACAAUCCCUUCUGUUAGUCAGUCCAGUUAUCCUAUGCCUUCUCACUUCCUUUGCAUUAGAGCAAAUGGGCUAUUUGGGACUGUUAAUGAGUUUAAUGCUACUAUGGUCCCUUCUGUUAAUCUAGUUUCCCAUGCACUCCUCCUUCCUUUGCAUUACAGCAGAGGGUACUUCAGACCUUUAAGAUGUUUAAUUGCAGCCAUGGUCCCUUCUGUUAGUCUAGGAUCUCACAUAUUUCAACUCCCUUUGUAUUACCUGGUGUUAUCUUUGGGACUGUUAGAGUGCUUAGUUGCAGCUCUGGUCCCUUUUCUUAGUCUAGCGUCCCAUCCUUCCCUACUCACUGCAUUUCUUGGGAGUGGAUUUGGGAUAGUAAUGUGCUCAUUUGCAACUGUGGUCCCUUUUGUUAAUCUGGGGUCCCAUGUCCUCCCACUCUUCCUUUGCAUACAGCAGAGGCUAUUUGGGACUCUUAAUAUAGUAGUUUAGGAUCCUUUGUAUUACCUUUGUAUUAUCAGGUGAUAUUUGGGACUAAAAAGUGCUUAAUUGCAUUUCUGGUCUCUUCUGGUAUAGGAUUCCAAUGUUCUGCAACUCCCUAUGCAUUAUAGCAGAGGGCAUUGGGACUGUUAGGGGGCUUAAAUAUAGCUGUAGUCCCUUCUGUUAGUCUAGUAUCCCAAGCGCUCCGACUGCCUUUGCUUUACCUGGGAGUGUAUUUGGGACUCUUAAGUUGCUGAAUUGCAGCUGUUGUCUCUUUUAUUAGUAGUUUCCUAUGCCUUUUUAUUCUCUUUACAUUACAACAGAGGGUCCUUGGGAUUGUUAAAGUGCUUAAUUGCUGCUGUGGUCCCUUUUGUAAUUCUGGGAUCCCAUCCCUGGCUACUCUGUUUACAUUACCUGGGAGGAUUUUGGGGACUGUUAAAAGAAACCAUAUAACUAAAUUAGUAUGGUUUCCCAUGCCCUCCUAUUCUCUUUGCAUUACAACUAAUGGUACUUGGGACUGUUGAAGUGCUUAAAUACAGAUGCAGUCCCCUCUGUUAGUCUAGGAUCUCCUGCCUUUCUCCCUUUACAUUAUCGAAAGCAGAUUGGGGAAUGUUAAUGUGCUUACUAAUUACAGUUGUAAUCCAUUCUAUUAAUCUAGUUUUCAGUCCCUUCCAGCCUCCUUCGCAUUACCUAGGAGCAGAUUUGGGACUAUUAAUGUGCUCCUUUGCAGCUGUGGCCCCUUCUGUUAGCCUAGCAUCCCAUGCCGUCUAACUCCCUUUCCAUUGCAGCAGAGGAUAUUUGGGACUUUUAAUGGCUUAAUUGCAGCCCUGGUCCCUUCUGUUAGUCUAGGAUCCCAGGUCCUCCAACUCACUUUGCAUUACCUCAGAAUGUAUUUGGGACUAUUUAAUUGCUCAAUUGGAGCUGUUGUCCCUUUUUGUGUGUCUAGUUUCCCAUGCCCUCCUGCUCUUUUGCAUUGUAGCAGUGGGUACUUGGGACUGUUAGUGUACUUAAUUGCUGGCGUAGUCACUUUUGCUGAUUUAGGAUCCCAUCCCCCUUCUCCCUUUAUCAGGGAGGAUUUGGGGUUGUUAAAGUACUUAUUUGCACCUGCAGAUAGUCUAGGCUUUGCUAUAGGAUCUGCUAUAAUGCAGAUAGUACUUGGGCCUGUUAAUGUGCAUUAAAUACAGGCGUGGUCCAUUUGCUGGUGAUGACCACCUCCUCCCUUUAUAUUACCUGGGAGCAGAUUUAGUACUGAAAGGUGAUUAAUUGCAGCUUGUGUUCCCUUCUGAUUAGGGUCCCGCAUCUCCAUCUCUUUGCAUUAGAGCAGAGAGUACUUGGGCCUGUUAAAUGCUCUAUUGCAGCUGUGGUACCUUCUGUUUUGUAGGAUCCCAUGCCCACCAUCUCCCUUUACAUCAUCUGGGAGUGUAUUUGGAACUGAUAAAUUGCUUAAUUGUAGCUGUCGUUCCUUCUGUUAAUAUACUUUUCCAUGCCUUCCUACUGUGUUUCUACUAUAGCAGAGGAUACUUGAACUGUUAAAGUGCAGCUGUGUCCCUUUGUAGUUUAGGAUCCCAUGACUUCCCACUCCCUUCACAUUACCUGGAAAGGCAUUUGGGACUGUUAAGGUGCUAAUUGCAGCUGUGGUUCCUUCUGUUAGUCUAGGAUCCCAUUCUCACUCCCUUUUCAUUACUUGGGAAGGUUUUUGGGGACCCUUAAAGAGCCUGUUGCAGGUGUGGUCCUUUCUGCUAGACUGGGAUCCAUGCCCUUCAACUUCGUUUGGGUUACUGCUAAGGGUACUUGGGACUGUGAAUGUGCUCAAAUGCAGGUUUGGUCCCUUUUAGUCUCAGAUCUCAUGCCCUCCAACUCCUUUUACAUUAUCCAAGAGGGUACUUGGGACAGUUUUUGUGCUCAUUUACAACAGUGGUCCCUUUUUUAGUCUAUGAUCUCAUCCCUUGCUACCCCCACUCCCAACUCCCUUUGCAUUACCACAGAAGGUACUUGAGACUGUUCAGUGUAUCCCAUUUUCUCACACCCUGUUAACAUUAUAGUAGGGGGUGCUGAAUACCAAGGCCUCCCUUUUUUGUAUUGUUAAUGUGCAUGAUUGCAUUUGUUCAUCUUUCUCUGCAGUAGAUAAGAUUUCACUAACUUCCCUUGUAUUCAGCAGUGGAUGCCCUUUAUUCAAGACCUUUAUACUAGGAUAAAGUGAACCAUGGUAAUUGAUCACACUGUCAUUUAUUUUCGUCCCCUGUACUCUCUGUAUUAAUUACUCAAGUUACUUUUUUGGGGGGUUAUUUGUAUACAAAUGUAUUCCAAUGUUUAUGGUCCUUCUCUUUAAUUUCCCACCCUUUUUAUAUUACAUAAGGGGAUGUUAGUAUUUCAAAGUACUUCUCUUGGGACUCUAAAUGUGAAUAUGGCCUCUUGAUAAGCUAAUAUCCUUAUUUCUUAGUAUUCUAUCAGGGGGUACUGAUCAUCUAAGGUCUUUCUUUUGGACAGUUAAUGUGCCAAAUUGCACAUCCCCAAGUUGGAGAUCCCAUCCCCAUCACACCUUCUCUGAGUCAGGGGUGCUGACCAACUAUAACUGCUUCUUCUGUAUAGUUUAAAUGUGCAUAAUUACAGUAACCAGUGGUGCCUUAUGUUAGAUUGGGAUCUCAUUUCCUUCCCCAUUUACAUACUUCAGGCGCUUCUGACUAGCCAAGAGUAACUCUCUUGGACUGUUAAUGUGCAUACUUAAAUUCACUCUUAUACCUGUACACUAGAUAAGGAUUCUCCACAUACUAUUUAUAUCCCAGCAGGAGGUGCCUACUACUCAAGAUUUUACACACUAAUGCAGUUAAUGUGCACUGCCUUCGUUGUCUUGUGCAUACUCAGUUGUUCACGACUGUACCUUUUAGUUCCUGGGGCUCCUGCAAUUACUGAAGCAGGAGUGACUGACCCCCCCCAAAACCUUUCUUUUGGGACUAUGGAUGUGUGUAGUCUCAGUUGUCCACUGUCCUUUGAGUUAACUUGGGUCUCUGAGUCUUCUCACAACCUCUAAGCAUUACCGCAUGGGGUACUGUCCAUUUAAGGCCUCUUUCUUAAACUGUUAAUGUGAAUAAUGACAAUUACAUUAGGAUUCUUCCAUUUUACACUCCCUUUGAAGUAUUGCAGGGAAUUCUUACCAAUAAGGUCCCAUUUCGUGGCCUGCUGUGAUGCAUGAUUAUAUUUAUCUGGGUUCCUGUGUACUAGGGAAGAAAACCUCUCCACACUCUCUGUAUCUUCAAGCAGGGAGUGCCCCCUCUAACUUGGACUGUUAAACUUGAGCAGUCAAAGGACACAAUUGUAACUGACCACAGUCAUGCACCAUGGACAUUAAUGUGCAUAAUUGCACAUGGCUCAUCCCAUUUGAAUAAGAUACUACCUUCUCAGACCCCUUUUAUAGUACAGCAGGGGUACUGAUCACUAAGGCCUUUUUUCAUGCCUUGUGAUUAUGCAUGAUUGCAUGUAUACAUUUUCCUAUACACCAAAUAAAGAUACCCUGCUCUCUACUUCCUUUAUCUUUUAGCAAGGAGUGACCAUUACUUUAAGAUCCUUGUAUCUGUGUAAGAUACAUGGUUUUAAUUGCCCAUGCCCUAUCCCUUGGACAUUAAUAUACAUAAUUGCAACUUACGUCAUCCUACCCUGUUGUAUGUUAUUUGCAGUAUGCCAGGGUUGCUAAUCCCUAAAUUGUCCUGUUAAUAUGCAUAAUUGCAUUAGUCUGGGUUCUUGUGCAUUAGAUGAGGACAUCCUCUACCCUUACUUCUAUGCCUUCCAGUGGAUGGUGCUCACUGCUAGCACAUUUACAUUUGGAUGGUUAAUGUGCAGAAUUGUAGUUUCCACAACGCUAUCUUUUCCAAAACUAUCAUAGCUGCUUUGCAGCACUGCAGGGGAUACUGUUUUCUCACAAAGUUCCUUCUAGUAAAUUGUUAAUAUUCAUAAUUGAAAUAGUUAUAUACCCUCAGCUUCUGUUUGCAGUACAACAGUGUACUGACCAAUCAAGGCCCUCUGUUGGACUGGCAAUAUGUGCAAUUGCAUUUUUUCCCAUUUUGUACACUCAGUAGGACCAUGCCUACUUCCUUACCAGGUUCAGCAGGUAAGGUCCACUAUUUAAGAAGACUCUUUCACUUGGAAAGUUCAUGUGUACAAAUGCUUUGCUAAGUAUGUGUUCUAUUAGAAUUCUUUGCUUUGGAGUAAGGAGAUGUUAUUUACCUAAUGCCCAUUCUUUUAGACUCUAAUGUGUAUAAUUGCAAUUGUCCACCUUUUUUGUUGGACUAUGAUUGCAUUCCUUCAAACCCCCUUUGUAUCAGAGGCGUGUUAACCAUAAAUGAGCUCUUCUCUUGAGAUUAUUAUUAUACAGACUUGUAUUUGUCUGUGGAUUUGUGCAGUGUGAAAGGAUGCCCUAUGUGCCUACCACUGCCUUUGGAUUGCUGCUGAGGAGUGCUAUCAUGAUCUCAGCUCUUGUACAAUUAAUAUGCACCGCUAGCAAUGAUGGGACCUCUGUACCCACUUUGUAUACAUCAGGGGUACUAAGGACCCCUUCGUGGACUGUCAAUGUGCAAUUAUCUAUGCCCCCUUCUGUUAGAUUUAGGUAACAUUCCCUUAAAAAUCCCUGUGCAUUAAUGCAGGGGUUGGUGACCACACAAAACUCCUGGGACUGUUAAUGGGCACAAUGGCAAUUAGCAAUGGGUUUUUACUCCCUGGCCUUGUUAGGCAAACACUCCCAGCUCCAAUUUCCCAUGGCAUAAUAAAGUAUAAACAUUGCAGUAUGCUGUGAACUUGUCCGUCAAAUAGCACCCCAUACUCCCUCUCCUUUUGUGUUGUUUCCAUGUAUAAAAUUCAAAGUAGUCAUGAUCUUCCCGUUACCUUCCCUCUUCUCACCCGUUGCUUACCCUUGGACCCUUCCUAUGCACCAUUCUCACAAUUUCAGUUGUUCAUGUAUUGGGCCACUAAAUAAGAUUGUGUUCCUUCUUCCCUCCCAACCCCACCCUGCCCCUUUUGCAUUAUUGCUGGGGAAUGUUGACUGGGCAAGGCUCUUUCUCUUGGACUUAAAACAUUAAUAAUCCCGGAUGUCAUUGCAUUACCCACUUUGUAUUGCUGUAAUGCCUCAAUUGCACUUUCCUUGGUCCCACCCAUCAGACAUGGACUCCCCCACUUUGCAUUGCUUCUGAGUAGUGCUGAGUACCCAAAGUCCUUUCUGUGUUAUUAACACAGUAGUGAUUGUCCCAUUUUUCAGCCCAAGAUUUUCCUACCAUUUUGAUGUGUUUGUGCAGUGUUGACUAUCCAACGCAGGCCUGAAUUAAGUGGAUGGACCUUCACUCCUUUAGUGCAUUUGUUAAUGAUCCCAAUUCCAGUUGUCACAUUCUGGGACAGGAACUGUCCCUGCCCAUAUCUGUUACUGCUUUCUUGGGCAAAAUGCUCAAGGCAAAUCAGACCUAGAAAGCUGGAUUGCCACUCUUUAUUUUGGAUUUUCAGUAUAAGUAUCAGGUGAAAAUUGUCUCCCCAGAAAGAGGUUAGCAUUGUCUGUAUUCUUCCUUCCAGAGCAGAUUGCCUGGCCAAGAAUCUUGCUUCUCCUCUUAUAUAUUGCUAUUGUACUAUACCAGUUGCCAGGUAUAAUUAAAAAAUGCUGUUUGUAAGGUAGAAUUGUAAACCUGAUCAUUGAAUUUUUGAGGUUCAAAAACCCAUUUAUAUCAUGUACCUGAUGACCAGUGCCUCUCAUUUUACUAAGGGUGGUGGGUCUGUGGAAAGACCACUGUGACUCUUUGCUAUUUUAGUAUUCCCAAAAGUGUUCUAAGAGUGGAACUCUUAAGACCAAUCUUUGGGCUCUACCGCCAUUUAAAAACCCCAUUCCUUAUUUGGGCUUUACCACUGUUCACUUUUAGAAAAACUACCUAGACAUUCUAAUCCUUAAAUUUCUUCAUCUGAAGCAUCCACCAUCCCUUCCUUAUUUUAAGAAGAUUACUGUAAAAGAAUGAAAUGAAAGAACAUAUUCUGAGGCACUUUCGAAAACUGUAGAAUUACAGUUGAUUAAUCUAUUAUAUAAAUAAAAUGCACAGUUUAAUUCUGCUAACUUAAAGUAGCCGGAAGCACUGCACUGGAGUGAUGGCUUAGAAAUGAUGGGACCAAUUUCCCUGUUUUAUAUUGAUAAAUAAGCCACGAUCUAAUCAUUCUUCUGGACAUGAAUCAACAGUGAGAUGGCUGCUUGGUAAAAUGAAUAAUAUCCUAAUCUCUAGUGUGCAGGGUGUGGCAGAGAAGUAUUUGAUAUGGAACUGCUGAAGCAAAUAACUAGUCGUCACAACAGCAGUUCUUUGUAAUCACUGAAAAAGGAUUUUUUGACAAGGAUGUCAAAAGAUCGGCGCAGCUCAGGGUGCAGUAUGCACUACUGGCUCCUUGGACAGCUGUAAGAAGAGUCUCUGGCUCUUUAGAAUACUGGAUGAAUUCUGAGCUGGUUCUGUCCUCCCACUGAAGAGGAAGGAUGGAUCAAUUUUAAGUGGAUUGAAGCCUGCACUAGACAGCAUCCAAAGGCAACAAGGUAGUACCACUUGCCACUGGAAUUCUCCAUUUAAAGGACAUUCCGAGCAUGUGAAACCUGAGGACCGCAAGUAGCUCUAAUCAGCUUCACAUUCGGCAGAUCUUUCUUUUUGAGAAUCUGGAUAAGCUCCAAAUAAUCUAAGAUGAUGGCUUGCAGGCCACCUGGGAAAAAAAUAAGAUCUUCCUCUGAAGAAUAGGCUUGUUGCUCUACAGUGUUAGUGACCCAUUCCCUUUGACGAUCCCUAGGUGGAGAUGGGGCAUGAGGAUCCUCCAGGGGAAAAGCUCACUAUCACUGGGCAACAACCCUAGGCUAGGAGGGUCUACCAAGAUUCUUUCUAGGACCUACAUAGGAAGAUGAAGUUUUAAAACAACCGCCACACAUCAAGAGCUCCUGACUGUUCCCUUCUUAUCUGCCAAAUCAUUGUCUCCCUAAAGCAAAGCAGAUGGCAAGAAAUUUGAACACAUCAAAGGAAGAUCAACAUGCCUGGCAUGCUAACAUUAUAAAUAGCAGAAUGAAUGUGUAUUUCUUGGUCUAUUUCUUUCUUGAAUCUAUUUGGUCUUUCUUCUCUAUCUAAAGUGUGUCUCAGCCAUUCCAUGAUUCUCUGCAGUUUCUUCUUGUGUAUCUUUGUCUAGUUUUCUUGUUUGUUCCUAAGAGAUGUCUGUGCCUUGUCUUGGAUGACUCUAUAGUUUUUUCAUUCUGUUUCUGAUUCUCUUUUCUCUCCUAGAUCUGGUUCUUUUUUCACUUUUCUUCCCUUUGUGUCUCUG
Long non-coding RNA from Suricata suricatta (meerkat), 14360 nucleotides. RefSeq lists it as uncharacterized. The record is from RefSeq and is a predicted model, not a curated record. NCBI's taxonomy places the organism in Eukaryota, Metazoa, Chordata, Mammalia, Carnivora, Herpestidae. The transcript is spliced from 7 exons.